GCCGGGCAGAGUGGUGCACGCCUGUAGUCCCAGCUACUCGGGAGGCUGAGAGAGGAGGAUCACUCGAGUCCAGGAGUCCUGGGCUGUAGUGUGCUUUGCCGAUCGGGUGUCCGCACUAAGUUCGGCAUCAAUAUAGUGACCUCCCGGGAGCAGAGAACCACCAGGUUGCCCAAGGAGGGGUGAACCGGCCCAGGUUGGAAACGGAGCAGGUCAAAAAUUUCUGUGCUGGUCAGUGUUGUUUUUUAACAAAAUCUUAAUCAUUUGAUUUUAUCAAUAAAGAUUCGUU
Molecule: signal recognition particle RNA, 286 nt
Filed under: Meriones unguiculatus (Mongolian gerbil)
Lineage: Eukaryota; Metazoa; Chordata; Mammalia; Rodentia; Muridae
Description: Metazoan signal recognition particle RNA (ENSMUGG00000008094.1)
Rfam family: Metazoan signal recognition particle RNA
About the family: The signal recognition particle (SRP) is a universally conserved ribonucleoprotein. It is involved in the co-translational targeting of proteins to membranes. The eukaryotic SRP consists of a 300-nucleotide 7S RNA and six proteins: SRPs 72, 68, 54, 19, 14, and 9.
Source: RNAcentral